CACCUCUAGCAUUCCCAGUAUUAGAGGCACUGCCUGCCCAGUGACAUCAGUUAAACGGCCGCGGUAUCCUGACCGUGCAAAGGUAGCAUAAUCAUUCGUUCCCUAAAUAGGGACUUGUAUGAAUGGCCACACGAGGGCUUUACUGUCUCUUACUUCCGAUCCGUGAAAUUGACCUUCCCGUGAAGAGGCGGGAAUAUGACAAUAAGACGAGAAGACCCUAUGGAGCUUUAAUUAACCGACCCAAAGAGAUCUUAACAACUAACCGAUAGGGACAACAAACCUCUACCAUGGGUCGACAAUUUAGGUUGGGGUGACCUCGGAGAAUAAAACAACCUCCGAGUGAUUUAAAUCUAGACUAACCAGUCGAAAGUACUACAUCACUUAUUGAUCCAAAAACUUGAUCAACGGAACAAGUUACCCUAGGGAUAACAGCGCAAUCCUAUUUUAGAGUCCAUAUCGACAAUAGGGUUUACGACCUCGAUGUUGGAUCAGGACAUCCCGAUGGUGCAGCAGCUAUCAAAGGUUCGUUUGUUCAACGAUUAAAGUCCU
This 549-nucleotide ribosomal RNA is filed under the name Panthera pardus (leopard). RNAcentral describes it as "partial large subunit ribosomal RNA". It matches the Rfam family "Bacterial large subunit ribosomal RNA", at positions 1816 to 2597 of the family's 2925-position model. Lineage: Eukaryota; Metazoa; Chordata; Mammalia; Carnivora; Felidae. The record is from RNAcentral.